This 380-nucleotide ribosomal RNA is filed under the name uncultured Flavobacteriia bacterium. RNAcentral's name for it is "bacterial SSU rRNA". It matches the Rfam family "Bacterial small subunit ribosomal RNA", at positions 521 to 896 of the family's 1533-position model. Lineage: Bacteria; Pseudomonadati; Bacteroidota; Flavobacteriia. The record is from RNAcentral.
UAAUACGGAGGGUCCGAGCGAUAUCCGGAAUCAUUGGGUUUAAAGGGUCCGUAGGCGGGCGUCUAAGUCAGUGGUGAAAUCUUACGGCUCAACCGUAAAAUUGCCAUUGAUACUGGAUGUCUUGAAUUAGUGUGAAGUGGUUAGAAUGUGUAGUGUAGCGGUGAAAUGCAUAGAUAUUACACAGAAUACCAAUUGCGAAGGCAGAUCACUAACACUAUAUUGACGCUGAGGGACGAAAGCGUGGGGAGCGAACAGGAUUAGAUACCCUGGUAGUCCACGCCGUAAACGAUGGAUACUAGCUGUUCGUUUCGCCUAGUGCGAGAUGAGUGGCUAAGCGAAAGUGAUAAGUAUCCCACCUGGGGAGUACGUUCGCAAGAAUG